Molecule: ribosomal RNA, 518 nt
Filed under: uncultured fungus
Lineage: Eukaryota; Fungi
Description: SSU rRNA
Rfam family: Eukaryotic small subunit ribosomal RNA
Source: RNAcentral
AUUAGAUAAAAAACCAAUGCCCUUCGGGGCUCCUUGGUGAUUCAUAAUAACUUAUCGAAUCGCAUGGCCUUGCGCUGGCGAUGGUUCAUUCAAAUUUCUGCCCUAUCAACUUUCGAUGGUAGGAUAGUGGCCCACCAUGGUGGCAACGGGUAACGGGGAAUUAGGGUUCGAUUCCGGAGAGGGAGCCUGAGAAACGGCUACCACAUCUAAGGAAGGCAGCAGGCGCGCAAAUUACCCAAUCCCGAUACGGGGAGGUAGUGACAAUAAAUACUGAUACAGGGCUCUUUCGGGUCUUGUAAUUGGAAUGAGUACAAUUUAAACACCUUAACGAGGAGCAAUUGGAGGGCAAGUCUGGUGCCAGCAGCCGCGGUAAUUCCAGCUCCAAUAGCGUAUAUUAAAGUUGUUGCAGUUAAAAAGCUCGUAGUUGAACCUUGGGUCUGGCUGGCCGGUCCGCCUCACCGCGUGCACUGGUCCGGCUGGAUCUUUCCUUCUGGGGGAGCCCCAUGGCCUUUAUUGGC